Molecule: long non-coding RNA, 931 nt
Filed under: Elaeis guineensis (African oil palm)
Lineage: Eukaryota; Viridiplantae; Streptophyta; Magnoliopsida; Arecales; Arecaceae
Description: long non-coding RNA (EGUI_LNC003669)
Source: RNAcentral
UCCCCCAUCACCAACACCAUCCAAGGAACACCCUUACCCAUACAAGUCUCCACCACCACCACCUCCUCAUGUUUACUACUAUAAAUCACCACCACCACCACCACCACCUCAUCAUGUCUACAAGUAUAAGUCACCACCACCACCUCCUUACCACUAUGUAUCACCACCUCCACCUCACCAUGCCUACAAGUAUAAGUCUCCUCCACCACCUCCUUACCACUAUGUAUCACCACCUCCUCCUCAUCAUGCCUACAAGUAUAAAUCUCCACCACCACCCCCUUACCACUAUGUAUCACCACCCCCACCUCAUCAUGUCUACAAGUAUAAAUCUCCACCACCCCCUCAUUACCACCCUGCUCCUGGUUACAAAUACAAGUCACCACCUCCCCCUCAUCAUGUUUACAAGUAUAAAUCCCCACCACCCCCUCGUUACCACCCUGCUCCUGGCUACAAAUACAAGUCACCACCUCCCCCUCAUCAUGCUUACAAGUAUAAAUCCCCACCACCGCCUCAUUACCACCCUGCUCCUGGUUACAAAUACAAGUCACCACCGCCCCCUCAUCAUGUUUACAAGUAUAAAUCUCCACCACCCCCUCAUUACCACCCUGCUCCUGGUUACAAAUACAAGUCACCACCGCCCCCUCAUCAUGUUUACAAGUAUAAGUCUCCACCACCCCCUCCUUACCACUACAAAUCACCACCUCCUCCUCAUCAUGUCUACAAGUACAAAUCUCCACCACCCCCCACCAUCAAAAGCCACCUUGUCCUCCCCCAUCUGUCUAUAAAUAUAAAUCACCACCACCCCCUCCCUACCAUUACAAAUCACCACCCCCACCCCCUCCUGUAUACAAGUAUAAAUCACCACCGCCACCUCCCUACCACUACAAGUCACCACCACCUCCCCAUCCAGUCUACAAGUACAAGUCUCCUC